Non-coding RNA from Acanthosepion pharaonis, 113 nucleotides. Lineage: Eukaryota; Metazoa; Mollusca; Cephalopoda; Sepiida; Sepiidae. The record is from the annotation of a GenBank genome assembly.
UUACGAUCAUAUUACUUGGAAUCACCUGUUCUCGUACGAUCACCGAAGUUAAGCAACGUCAAGCCUGGUCAAUACCUACGUCGGUAACCGCUUGGUAAUACCAAAUGCUGUAA